Long non-coding RNA from Bos taurus (domestic cattle), 878 nucleotides. The record is from Ensembl. NCBI's taxonomy places the organism in Eukaryota, Metazoa, Chordata, Mammalia, Artiodactyla, Bovidae.
AUUCUUCAGUGGCUGUUUUCCUCCUGCUUAGAUCAACCAAUCAAGCCUAUUGUUCGGGUAGCAGAGAAGGCAGAGGAUUAAAUGGUCAGGAUCACCAAGUCAGUGGGGAGGACAACUACACUACAGAUUUGGCCACAACAAUGAACUUAUGACAAUUCCACCCCAUUUAUAACUUCAAUAAGCAUCCAUUGAGCAUCUACUAGGAAUCUACGAGGAACUCUAUAAGAAACUCCAAUACUUUGGCCACCUGAUGCGAAGAACCAACUCAUUGGAAAAGACCCUGAUGCUGGGAAAGAUUGAAGGCAGGAGGAGAAGGGGACAACAGAGGAUGAGAUGGUUGGAUGGCAUCACUGACUCGAUGGAUGUAUUUUGUGAUGGUCUCAUUGGUUUUGACAAUGGAUAGCAUAUCUGGUAAGAAGAGAAAGACACCCUUGACUGUUCAGCUUCUUUCUAGCAGAAUAUCCUGUAAUGCUCUCUGACUAAAUCAUGGCAUUCUCCCCAUGUGAUCUUCAAGCAUCUCCUGAGAGCUUGCUAGAAAUGCAAAUUCUUGAACCUCUCCAGACUUACUGGACAAGGGAUAUCUUUAACAAUUCUGCUAAAAUUUAGAGACACUGUUAGGAGGUACAGAGCCUACAUAUUGCUAAGAUUCAAACCCCUGGAAUACCACCUCCUAAAUAUUGUGACCUGGGUAAUUCACUUAACUGUUCUGUGCUGUGACUUCUGAAAUAAUUAGAGGAUCAUAUAGUACACACAUAGUACUUAACAUCUAAGGUUAUUGUGAAGAGUAAAGAACAUAAUGACUUUAAAGUGUUUAAUCUGGCAUGUUGUAAGUGCUGUAUAAUUACUAGCUAUUUUAUUAUAUUUAUUAUUAGUAGUAG